This 346-nucleotide ribosomal RNA is filed under the name uncultured eukaryote. RNAcentral's name for it is "SSU rRNA". It matches the Rfam family "Eukaryotic small subunit ribosomal RNA", at positions 594 to 945 of the family's 1831-position model. The record is from RNAcentral.
AUAGCGUAUAUUAAAGUUGUUGCAGUUAAAAAGCUCGUAGUUGAACCUUGGGCCUGGCUGGCCGGUCCGCCUCACCGCGUGUACUGGUCCGGCCGGGCCUUUCCUUCUGGAGAGCCCCAUGCCCUUCACUGGGCGUGUGGGGGAACCAGGACUUUUACUUUGAAAAAAUUAGAGUGUUCAAAGCAGGCCUUUGCUCGAAUACGUUAGCAUGGAAUAAUAGAAUAGGACGUGCGGUUCUAUUUUGUUGGUUUCUAGAACCGCCGUAAUGAUUAAUAGGGAUAGUCGGGGGCAUCAGUAUUCAAUUGUCAGAGGUGAAAUUCUUGGAUUUAUUGAAGACUAACUACUG